AUGUGGAAGGGCCCUACUAUGUGGAGUGACAGGCUUUUAGAUAAUAGUGCUAAUUCAGAAGGAUGUUUACAAACAUUGCUCUCUCUGUUCAAGUGUAUGUAUUUUAUAACCUUUGAAAUACAGAAAAGAAAUAGCCUAAUUCAUUUAUCCAUUUUCUUAUUAAACCACAACUUUUCAUUAUAUACUCAUAGCUUUGUUUCAAAUUGGACAAAGAAUGACUACAUCAUUAGGCUCCUACUUUCGAGGUGUUAAGAAUCUUUGGUUCUUCCUGAUGAUAGCUUUGUGAUUCACAAGAAGUCAUUUUUCAAAAGACUCAAUUCCAUUUUGUAGACAAUGGACAAGGCUUUACAAGUCAUUGGUUAUUAUUGUUAACCAGUUAUGUAUUAACCACAUUUUACUAAGUUACCUAGAUCUAUACUGACAGAACUGAAGUCAGUAUCUAAGCCUCAGUGCAUAUUCAGCGCUGAUGUUGAGCUGAAUCCACAAUAGUCCAAGGAGGGUUUUCAGACAAGUGUUUCAAAACCUGUUAGAAAACUUCAAGAACAAAAAAAAGCUGUGUUUUGGAAAGACUGAAAACAUGACCUUAGUGAAAAGUAUGCCUUGAACUUAGCUUGCCCAUAAGGCCACAGAGAAAGUGACAUGUCCAACUUGUAGCAGAGAAGGAAGAUUUGUUUUUACAGCGACAAUUUUAAACACACUGCAGGGAAUUAAUUAAGACCACUCCAAUUAUAUUUUUCCUUUUUUGUUUCAUUUGAUUUCAUCUUUCUUUAAUCUUAUUCUGCCUAACCACAGAGCUAUUCCUCCCCCACAGACAGGACAGGUGAAAAGUAAACUAUCACUAGUAUUUAUAAAUACACUUUAGCUCAAUGUUCAAACAGCUUACAGCAGCCCCCCUCCCCACCCUCCUUAUCUGAAGCUUCACUAACAUAAACUUGCCUGAGUUUUCAAGCGUCUUGCCUAAAGUGUCUUCUCUGACUUACCAGUUCUGGCUUCCAAACUGGAGAAAGUGGGAGAAUUAAUAACACUCUAAGUGACGUAUGUGUGCAUGCGGGCACAGUCCUGUCUGACUCUUUGUGACCCCAUGGACUGUAGCCCGCCAGGCUC
RNAcentral lists this long non-coding RNA (1104 nucleotides) under Capra hircus (goat). RNAcentral describes it as "lncRNA (ENSCHIG00010030377.1)". Lineage: Eukaryota; Metazoa; Chordata; Mammalia; Artiodactyla; Bovidae. The record is from RNAcentral.